Long non-coding RNA from Manacus vitellinus (golden-collared manakin), 837 nucleotides. RefSeq lists it as uncharacterized. The transcript is spliced from 3 exons. The record is from RefSeq and is a predicted model, not a curated record. NCBI's taxonomy places the organism in Eukaryota, Metazoa, Chordata, Aves, Passeriformes, Pipridae.
CUGUGAGAAGCUGGAGCCCAUUGAUUACUGGAUGUUUCAAUCUGCUGAAAAGAAGGGGCUGUCCCUGAACCAAUGAAACAAUAAGAAGGAAGGGAGAGUGACAAGCUGUGGGGCAAUCUUUGCUCUCAGGGCCCGGGCACUUUCCUUUCACUGGUUCAGCAGAGAUCAACAAGAAGAGGCUGAGUCUGAGAAGUUAACCAUGCAUGGUUCAAGCCACCUGGCAAUGAGCUCUGCAGGCAUAGGAGGCAACCUUUCUGCCUUUAUCAUGAACCUGAGAGCAGUAUAACCAUCUGGCUGGUUAUAAUUUAACAGAAACCCCAUUUUUUAUCUUGCUAUGGUGGUGUGCUUUCUUUUAAAUGUCACCUGUAGAGUUUCCCAAUGAGUGGAGAAGUUUUGCUUUGUAUUUCUUACAGAUACUGACAAAAACUAGUCCACUGGAUUACCAUAAACCUAGCCAUAUUCUUUCUUAGAGGCAUGAGCAAGCUGAAAAGAGUUUGCAGUAACUUUUAUACUUUAAUCAAAAUAUUUUUCAGUAUAUAUUUGUCAUUUUUAACCAGUAGACUCAUUGACUGGUUAUUUUAUUAAUGUUGAAAUCUUACAAUUUUAGAGGAGUUAUUAAGCAAAUAAAUUAAUCUUCAGCUUUCCCAUGGCACUGAAGCUUGUUCGUCACUGUUGUGCUUUCCAUCAUUCUUUAAACCCUUGGUAAUCGAUAGUGGUAAUUUCAAAUAAGUUCAGAUCUUUUGUUCAAAGUAAACUGAGCAUGCAUGCAUCUUCUAAAUCAGCACCUUAACGUGACCUCUCCUUUCUGCUCAAAUUAUUAAAAUCAAAAUAAAGUUC